RNAcentral lists this ribosomal RNA (400 nucleotides) under uncultured bacterium. RNAcentral's name for it is "bacterial SSU rRNA". It matches the Rfam family "Bacterial small subunit ribosomal RNA", at positions 355 to 772 of the family's 1533-position model. The record is from RNAcentral.
UGGGGAAUAUUGGACAAUGGGCGCAAGCCUGAUCCAGCCAUGCCGCGUGAGUGAUGAAGGCCUUCGGGUUGUAAAGCUCUUUCGCCAGGGACGAUAAUGACGGUACCUGGAUAAGAAGCCCCGGCUAACUUCGUGCCAGCAGCCGCGGUAAUACGAAGGGGGCUAGCGUUGUUCGGAAUCACUGGGCGUAAAGCGCACGUAGGCGGAUGUUUAAGUCAGAGGUGAAAUCCCGGAGCUCAACUUCGGAACUGCCUUUGAUACUGGACGUCUUGAGUCCGAGAGAGGUGAGUGGAACUCCUAGUGUAGAGGUGAAAUUCGUAGAUAUUAGGAAGAACACCAGUGGCGAAGGCGGCUCACUGGCUCGGUACUGACGCUGAGGUGCGAAAGCGUGGGGAGCAAA